Molecule: transfer RNA, 75 nt
Filed under: Streptomyces phage Shaeky
Lineage: Duplodnaviria; Heunggongvirae; Uroviricota; Caudoviricetes; Colingsworthviridae
Description: tRNA-Met
Rfam family: tRNA
About the family: Transfer RNA (tRNA) molecules are approximately 80 nucleotides in length. Their secondary structure includes four short double-helical elements and three loops (D, anti-codon, and T loops).
Source: RNAcentral
CUGAGAGUAGCUUAAUGGUAGAGCGCGAGUCUCAUAAGCUCGGUGGUGCGGGUUCGAAUCCCGUCUCUCAACCCA